GACGAACGCUGGCGGCGUGCUUAACACAUGCAAGUCGAACGGAAAGGCCCUGCUUUGGUGGGGUGCUCGAGUGGCGAACGGGUGAGUAACACGUGAGUAACCUGCCCUUGACGUUGGGAUAACUUCAGGAAACUGGGGCUAAUACCGGAUAGGAGCUCCUGCUGCAUGGUGGGGGUUGGAAAGUUUCGGCGGUUGGGGAUGGACUCGCGGCUUAUCAGCUUGUUGGUGGGGUAGUGGAUUACCAAGGCUUUGGCGGGUAGCCGGCCUGAGAGGGUGACCGGCGACAUUGGGACUGAGAUACGGACCAGACUCCUACGGGAGGCAGCAGUGGGGAAUAUUGCACAAUGGGCGGAAGCCUGAUGCAGCAACGCCGCGUGCGGGAUGACGGCCUUCGGGUUGUAAACCGCUUUCGCCUGUGACGAAGCGUGAGUGACGGUAAUGGGUAAAGAAGCACCGGCUAACUACGUG
Molecule: ribosomal RNA, 468 nt
Filed under: uncultured bacterium
Lineage: Bacteria
Description: partial 16S ribosomal RNA
Rfam family: Bacterial small subunit ribosomal RNA
Source: RNAcentral